Thunnus maccoyii (southern bluefin tuna) is the source of this 339-nucleotide long non-coding RNA. RefSeq lists it as uncharacterized. The transcript has 3 exons. Lineage: Eukaryota; Metazoa; Chordata; Actinopteri; Scombriformes; Scombridae. The record is from RefSeq and is a predicted model, not a curated record.
CCUUGCAACAAAUUAAACAGCUGAGGCAGGGACUGCAAGAGUCGAUGUUAUGGCCACUGUUGGGAGGCCAGGCUAGAUGUAGUACCAGUGGUUUUCACACAUCAAUCAAUGGCUGAAUCCAGUGCUCGGGCAACAUCAUCUGGCCUGAGGAAGGGGAAAAGGAGGAUGACGAUGGAUGACCUGUUGCCAUCAGAUGCAAAACUGCUGGCAGCAGUUUGUGGAGACAGAGCCCUCUGACGCAGUGGUUCUAACAGCUUGAGCACAGAGUCUGGACCAAAACUGAGAAAAAGAGGCAAGCAGGAGGUCAGCAACGGCAGAUCAGUCCAAACAAGCUAUAAU